RNAcentral lists this non-coding RNA (148 nucleotides) under Gorilla gorilla gorilla (western lowland gorilla). Lineage: Eukaryota; Metazoa; Chordata; Mammalia; Primates; Hominidae. The record is from Rfam by way of RNAcentral.
GCCAGGCGUGGUGGUGUGCGCCUGUAAUCUCAGCUACUAGGGAGGCUGAGGCAGGAGAAUUGCUUGAACCCAGGAGGUGGAGGCUGCAGUGAGCCAAGAUCAUGCCACUGCACUCCAGCCUGGGCAACAGAGCAAGACUCUGUCUCAA